GACGAACGCUGGCGGCGUGCCUAAUACAUGCAAGUAGAACGCUGAAGGAGGAGCUUGCUUCUCCGGAUGAGUUGCGAACGGGUGAGUAACGCGUAGGUAACCUGCCUGGUAGCGGGGGAUAACUAUUGGAAACGAUAGCUAAUACCGCAUAACAGUAGAUAUUGCAAGAUAUCUGCUUGAAAGGUGCAAUUGUAUCACUACCAGAUGGACCUGCGUUGUAUUAGCUAGUUGGUGAGGUAACGGCACACCAAGGCGACGAUACAUAGCCGACCUGAGAGGGUGAUCGGCCACACUGGGACUGAGACACGGCCCAGACUCCUACGGGAGGCAGCAGUAGGGAAUCGUCGGCAAUGGACGGAAGUCUGACCGAGCAACGCCGCGUGAGUGAAGAAGGUUUUCGGAUCGUAAAGCUCUGUUGUAAGAGAAGAACGAGUGUGAGAGUGGAAAGUUCACACUGUGACGGUAUCUUACCAGAAAGGGACGGCUAACUACGUG
RNAcentral lists this ribosomal RNA (495 nucleotides) under uncultured bacterium. RNAcentral's name for it is "partial 16S ribosomal RNA". It matches the Rfam family "Bacterial small subunit ribosomal RNA", at positions 28 to 507 of the family's 1533-position model. The record is from RNAcentral.